GACGAACGCUGGCGGCGUGCUUAACACAUGCAAGUCGAACGGUGAAGCGCCUUCCUUUUUGGUGGGUGUGGAUGAGUGGCGAACGGGUGAGUAACACGUGAGUAACCUGCCCCCUUCUUCUGGAUAACCGCAUGAAAGUAUGGCUAAUACGGGAUAUUCUGGGUCUGUCGCAUGAUGGGUCUGGGAAAGAUAUUGUUUCGGUGGGGGAUGGGCUCGCGGCCUAUCAGCUUGUUGGUGGGGUGAUGGCCUACCAAGGCGGUGACGGGUAGCCGGCCUGAGAGGGUGGACGGUCACACUGGGACUGAGACACGGCCCAGACUCCUACGGGAGGCAGCAGUGGGGAAUAUUGCACAAUGGGCGCAAGCCUGAUGCAGCGACGCCGCGUGAGGGAUGGAGGCCUUCGGGUUGUGAACCUCUUUCGCCAGUGAAGCAGGCCUGCCUCGUUUGUGGGUGGGUUGACGGUAGCUGGAUAAGAAGCGCCGGCUAACUACGUG
RNAcentral lists this ribosomal RNA (494 nucleotides) under uncultured bacterium. Its description in RNAcentral is "partial 16S ribosomal RNA". It matches the Rfam family "Bacterial small subunit ribosomal RNA", at positions 28 to 507 of the family's 1533-position model. The record is from RNAcentral.